This is a long non-coding RNA of Cygnus atratus (black swan), 3424 nucleotides long. RefSeq lists it as uncharacterized. The transcript is spliced from 6 exons. NCBI's taxonomy places the organism in Eukaryota, Metazoa, Chordata, Aves, Anseriformes, Anatidae. The record is from RefSeq and is a predicted model, not a curated record.
AGGUCCAUUUUCCUUCCAAUUUAAAAACCGGCAGCAUGUGUCCAGGAGGAUCUCAGCAAAGCAAAAUAUAGAAAGAACACAGAUUUUCUAGCAGUUACGUUUUGUAGGUUAGAAUGAUUUUAAAUAAAAGGUGAAGAUUAUGCAUACACGUAAUGCUUGUAGAAACAUGGUGGACAGGAACACUGUCACUAACAAAAACUUGGGGUCAAAAAUGGAAACUUCAUAGAAUGAUUAGAGUAGCUAGAAAGUGAUCAUACUGUACAUUGUUUCAGUCUCCAACAAAAGAGAAAGCUGUGGUCACCAGAUUCAAGAUUUAAAAUUGGACAAAACUCAGGAGGUUGGCUGCUGAGGAAACCGUCUCUGAACCACUAGGAUGAGGGAUCAUCUGGGAAUAGUCAUGCUGUCUGACAGUGGACACUCAGCUGAAGCACCCACCCUGGAAGACCUGCCCUUCCAAACUCCUUAUAUGUACUCAGUGGAGGAUGCAGACUCAUCUAGUGAUCACUAGUGAUUUGCCUGAGGAUUGCCUGCCCUUCUCUACUUAAUGUGGAAAUAUCAGGGAGGAAGACAGGAUCCUAAGUCAGUAGGCUAAGCUUGGAAAGCACAGGCAUAUAUGGCAUUGCAAGUAUUUUGGAUGAGUCCUUCUAGUAUAAUACCUGUCUGAAAUUGAAGGAGUGGAUGACAUGAACCUAUACAUUACUCUGCUGGCAGAGAGACAGACGUUCUGGGGGCUGAGCUGGGGGACGGGGGGCGGCUGCAAGCCAAAGCACCUACAUCAGAUGUCUGAAGUAGACAGUGCAAAUAACCCUCCAAACGACUGGACUUAUUGGACCACAUAAGAGAGAGAGGAAAAAAGUGAGGCUGGCACAUGUUUAUCUUGCCUAUUUAGACAAUCAGUUCUCCUGUUCCGUGCACAGCACCUGACAUACAAGGGCAAAGAUCUCAACACAGAGCCUAUUAAAUUGUUACUCAUGAUUCAACUGGUCACCAUGGAAAAUUAACUAUUAAGGUUGUAGGUAUUUUAUCAGCAAGAACACAAUGUAUUACCUGUUUCUAGCAAUUCUAUGCCAGUACCUUAUUAAGGUGUAAUACUGACGUGUAUAUGACAGUUCUGAAAGGAAACACGAAACAUAUUUGAGGAAUACAAUCAGUGUUAAAUGGAUUAACAAUAGAUUUGGCUUUAAUACAAUAAAUCCAGAGAGACUCUGAAAGCACAGGAACUAGCUACAUUUUCUAAGCAGAUGUAUUUCCUACUAUUUAAUGUAUAUAAAACACCUGAAUUGAAUUUGUUAUUGGUAUUCUGUACCAUGAAGAGAGUAAGGAAAAAAAUCCAUACUACCAUUCAUAAGCAUAAUGUUAAAUAAAAGAAAAUAGUGUCUCGUACUUGUCGGACAAGUAUUCACAAUAAAAUCAUUAUUAGAGGACAUUCAUUCAAGCAGGAACACUUGUUUGAUUUGUGAGAGGCCAAGGCUGACUAGGCCCAAUGACUAAUAUGCCCCGUCACCAGUACAAAAUAGUCUUCCAGGCAAUAUGUUUGGGAAACUGGACUUUUUCUGCUCAUGCUCUUUCUGAUCAGACUUGUCUUUUUCUGGCAGCUUUUGCCAGCAAUCAGAUUCACUGGAAACAUAAAAGAGAAAAUGAUUGCUGGAGCUAUGCUGAACAAGCGGAGCGUUAUCUUUCUUCUUGCUCUGUUUGCCCAUGUGCACAAUGAAAGGAAGCUGGCAGAGGUCCUGAUCCAGGAAAAGGAUUAUGGCCUUUAUCAUCAGACAAUAAGUUGAGCAAAUUGCAGACCACAAACUACUUCUCUUCGGCAUACUGCUGAAGGACUCAUGGCUGAACUCGGUGCCUUAGAGGUACUAGGAGGAAGUACAGGGAGGUCGUAAAGAUGAGUAGCCAGAAAAUGAGGGAUGCUUAUGAAAGGUCUGCUGUUGAGCAGUGGGCAGAGGACAAUAUAGAAAAAAUCUAAAAUUCUAAAGCUUUAAUGUCUUUAUUAUUUUAAUUAGCUUCAAAAUUUGUAAUAAUCCAUCAUACUGUUACUCCAAAGUCUUUGUUGUUCACCUAAUAAUCUUCCAAAGGGGAGUAUUUGACACACAUGUGACUAAAGAUUGAGAUAUGUGGAUUUUCAAAUACAUACAGUGCAGCCAGUAACUAAGAACAGGACUAUUUGUUUAAUAGUGGCUCCAUUCAUUAUAAAUAAAUGAAAGAGGAUUUUAAAAGCAGGGAGUUAGAAAUAAAGACUUCCACAGCCAGGGAAAUAAAAUCUUUCUGCUCUUAGUCAUCUUUGUUAUCAACCCUACCUUAAAACUGCUUCAAGGGGUACAGAAGAGAGGUUUUAGUGUUAUACCCUGUAAAAUUAAAGAUUGUAAAGCAGAACACUGACAUGGUGACUGAACCCCUUUGAGCUUUUGAGCUGGUCUUUGGAACUUUGGAAGGAGUCCAGAUUUUUGCUAACUCUUUGUUUCCAAUCCAAAAUAAUCUGGAAAUAAUAGCUGUAACAGGAAUGAUAAUAAUGUAUACCUGUAAUAAGGAUCCAAACUGGCUGAAAUAUGUCAGUUUAGUCUCUGGUACUAGUGGUAUGAACUUUGCUUUAACGUGAUUAUUUCAUAUGAUUUUUUUUUUUUCAAAUGCGAAAUGGUUUGAGGGCUGUUUAAAGUAUUUUUUUUCCAGUGUAAAUCAGCAGACACACACAACAAAAGGACUGAAAAAGACUGAGCAGAAAUCUAACCCUCCAAAAAUCUUUGUGGGUAAACUGUUUCCCUAAUAAUCCCUCAUUAUAUAAACACCUAAAUAAGAUAUCUAGAGAUAAUUGUCUGAAAUUCUGACAGACUCAGUACCUUUGAAGAUUCUGCAAAGCUGGUCUACUAACAAUGGUUAACUGAUUGAAUGAGGCAACAGGGAAUUAUGAAGACUGCUUAUUUUUCUGAAUCCAGAGGUUUUAUUCUUUUCCCUACCCCUAGCUUCAGAAUCACUUUUUCCAUACAAAUUGGCAUGGUGUGGUCAACUUUCCCUCUGAUAUUCCAAAUUCCUGAUACUCUCUGUGUGGGGAACUGCCGCUCAUGCCAAAGGGAUGCUUGGCUUGUUGUGCUCUCUUGAUAGAUACUUCAGCAAUGCUGUUAGAUUAAAUAGCAAGGGACAGCAGAAUUUUAGUCACGAUCCAUCAGGCGGAUCUGAGAGGAGCCGUUUGCCCUGAGAGAGGAUAGACUUUCGAGACAUAUGGUCCUAUAAUGGGGGGGGGGUGGGGAUUUUUCAAUUCCAAUCCACCCAUUCCGGAUGAGAGAGACUGAGCUAAUACCCUCGUGUAUGGUGCAGUGCAUGUAGCUACGGAAGUAGCGUUAGGAUGGAAUUUAUGGACUCUCUAAAUUGUUUGCCAGGAAAUGUUUACUAGCUAUGCACAAUAAACGACUGUGAAAGCGUAUUCCUGUGU